RNAcentral lists this ribosomal RNA (195 nucleotides) under Ligilactobacillus agilis. Its description in RNAcentral is "Lactobacillus agilis partial 16S rRNA". It matches the Rfam family "Bacterial small subunit ribosomal RNA", at positions 338 to 525 of the family's 1533-position model. The record is from RNAcentral. Lineage: Bacteria; Bacillati; Bacillota; Bacilli; Lactobacillales; Lactobacillaceae.
CCUACGGGAGGCAGCAGUAGGGAAUCUUCCACAAUGGGCGCAAGCCUGAUGGAGCAACGCCGCGUGAGUGAAGAAGGUCUUCGGAUCGUAAAACUCUGUUGUUAGAGAAGAACAUGCGGGAGAGUAACUGUUCUUGUAUUGACGGUAUCUAACCAGAAAGCCACGGCUAACUACGUGCCAGCAGCCGCGGUAAUU